Molecule: ribosomal RNA, 363 nt
Filed under: Diaphanosoma sp. DJT-2002
Lineage: Eukaryota; Metazoa; Arthropoda; Branchiopoda; Diplostraca; Sididae
Description: bacterial SSU rRNA
Rfam family: Eukaryotic small subunit ribosomal RNA
Source: RNAcentral
GGCAAGUCUGGUGCCAGCAGCCGCGGUAACUCCAGCUCCAAUAGCGUAUAUUAAAGUUGUUGCGGUUAAAAAGCUCGUAGUUGGAUUCCUGUCUUCGGCCGGGCGGCUAAUGGUUUAGGCCGUUAGACUGCUUUUGGGUCCGGGUGUCAAAGCCUGGGCCCUUUAACGGCCGGACAAUACCACCGGAGGUGCGGGGAUAGUAGUCGGCUCUCGGGCGGGCUAUGACGACCGCACCAAUAUAACAGUCCGAGGUGCCCUUAACAAGGUGUCUCGGGCGGCCGGUAACGUUUACUUUGAACAAAUUAGAGUGCUCAAAGCAGGUACUUCACUGCCUGAAUAUCACAGCAUGGAAUGAUGGAAUAG